RNAcentral lists this ribosomal RNA (616 nucleotides) under Cortinarius acutus. Its description in RNAcentral is "eukaryotic LSU rRNA". It matches the Rfam family "Eukaryotic large subunit ribosomal RNA", at positions 1 to 622 of the family's 3401-position model. Lineage: Eukaryota; Fungi; Basidiomycota; Agaricomycetes; Agaricales; Cortinariaceae. The record is from RNAcentral.
UGUGACCUCAAAUCAGGUAGGAUUACCCGCUGAACUUAAGCAUAUCAAUAAGCGGAGGAAAAGAAACUAACAAGGAUUCCCCUAGUAACUGCGAGUGAAGCGGGAAAAGCUCAAAUUUAAAAUCUGGCAGCCUUUGGUUGUCCGAGUUGUAAUCUAGAGAAGUGCUAUCCGCGCUGGACCGUGUACAAGUCUCCUGGAAUGGAGCGUCAUAGAGGGUGAGAAUCCCGUCUUUGACACGGACUGCCAGGGCUUUGUGAUGUGCUCUCGAAGAGUCGAGUUGUUUGGGAAUGCAGCUCAAAAUGGGUGGUAAAUUCCAUCUAAAGCUAAAUAUUGGCGAGAGACCGAUAGCGAACAAGUACCGUGAGGGAAAGAUGAAAAGAACUUUGGAAAGAGAGUUAAACAGUACGUGAAAUUGCUGAAAGGGAAACGCUUGAAGUCAGUCGCGUUGUCCAGGGAUCAACCUUGCUUUUGCUUGGUGCACUUUCUGGUUGACGGGUCAGCAUCAAUUUUGACCAUUGGAAAAAGAUUAGGGGAAUGUGACAUCUUAGGAUGUGUUAUAGCCCUUGGUUGCAUACAAUGGUUGGGAUUGAGGAACUCAGCACGCCGCAAGGCCGGG